GAUGAACGCUGGCGGCGUGCCUAAUAAAUGCAAGUCGAGCGAACGGACGAGAAGCUUGCUUUUCUGAUGUUAGCGGCGGACGGGGGAGUAAAACGUGGAUAACCUACCUAUAAAACUGGGAUAACUUCGGGAAACCGGAGCUAAUACCGGAUAAUAUUUUGAACGGCAUGGUUCAAAAGUGAAAGACGGUCUUGCUGUCACUUAUAGAUGGAUCCGCGCUGCAUUAGCUAGUUGGUAAGGUAACGGCUUACCAAGGCAACGAUGCAUAGCCGACCUGAGAGGGUGAUCGGCCACACUGGAACUGAGACACGGUCCAGACUCCUACGGGAGGCAGCAGUAGGGAAUCUUCCGCAAUGGGCGAAAGCCUGACGGAGCAACGCCGCGUGAGUGAUGAAGGUCUUCGGAUCGUAAAACUCUGUUAUUAGGGAAGAACAUAUGUGUAAGUAACUGUGCACAUCUUGACGGUACCUAAUCAGAAAGCCACGGCUAACUACGUG
This 497-nucleotide ribosomal RNA is filed under the name uncultured bacterium. RNAcentral describes it as "partial 16S ribosomal RNA". It matches the Rfam family "Bacterial small subunit ribosomal RNA", at positions 28 to 507 of the family's 1533-position model. The record is from RNAcentral.